Long non-coding RNA from Danaus plexippus (monarch butterfly), 1228 nucleotides. RefSeq lists it as uncharacterized. The transcript is spliced from 2 exons. Lineage: Eukaryota; Metazoa; Arthropoda; Insecta; Lepidoptera; Nymphalidae. The record is from RefSeq and is a predicted model, not a curated record.
ACUGGAGAACAAAAUCAGUUAUUGCAAUUAAAACUUAUUAAUUAAAUCUUCUCUAACACGAGUUCGACUAAAACUUCUGUCCUUAGAAUAUCAUUCCCCUCACAUUUGACUAUUCAAUAUAAUUUUAUUGAGCUGCUUGAGUGUUAGAAUUCUCUAGAUAAAGUUAUCAAGAAGCAUUCCUAUGACGGCUGUUCGCCUGGAUAUUUUAAUCAAGGUCUUACGUACUAUUUGUCAUGGGAUGUAUAUAAUAAUCUUCAAUUAUUUGCAAGUACUUAAAAUAUAUAUUUUAAAUAUUGUUCAUGUAUUUAUUUCUAGAUAAAUAUUAUUCUUUUAAUUAAAACAAAUGACGUUUUAAUAUAGUUUUUAAGCUUUUUGGAAUGAAAACGCAAAAACCAACUGCAAAUUGGUAAUGGUUUUAUGUAUUUUUUUACGAUUCUUGUUUUUGGGUUUCAGAGGUUAGUAAAAAGGACCAUGAGAAUAUUUAACAAACUUCAAAAUAAAGAUAUCUAUUUCCUACCAUUGACCCAAGCUGUAAACUUAAGGUUUUAGAAUCUGGAUUAAAUCACAAGGUCUGUGGUUGCGUGUACCUUGUAGUGGUUCGUGGGUCUGUUCUGGCUGGACAGCACCGGAUUGGAGAUGAUUCGUCGGUUAGCGGCUACAUCGAGGGCGGCUCGUAGGAGGUCUACCUUGUUGGUUUUGGGAGAAAUCUCGAUGUUGCUGCAACGUCUCUGACUGCUGCUGCCGCUGCGACUGCGGCACAGUUCGUUGAUGUCGCCCUGAGACAGCUGCGGCACAUACGUAAAUGACAUCCCUUACUGUUGUAUUAUUUUAUUGUGUUUUUAUUUACUUUGCAUGUAAUGUUCGUACAGGCGUUGGGAUGAGGAUAAUUAUGAAAUCAAUAGAUAGCAUGAAAACUUGUUAUUGUUUUUGUUAUGAGAAAUUUUUGUUAGUAGAAAUGUAUUAGAAGUGAUUUGAAUGUAAUGAGAUCUAAGACUUCCGCGAGUAUUCAAUUAAAUGAAAAUAAUAUAUUUCAGAUUACUAUCCGUGAUCAUGCUUGCAGCAAAGUAACCGAGACGUCGGGACUCGGGAGUAUGUAGUUUUUAAAAUAAUAAAAUAUGCGUAAUAAUCCCAAAAAUAUUAGUUUCGUUUAAGUCAUUUGAGUGUAUUUAUUUUUAGUCAAUUUGUUGUAGGUUUUUCUUAUUUUAAAAAUUAAAUGUCAACAAGUCAA